UAUACGAUGGGCCCGCGUCUGAUUAGCCAGUUGGCAGGGUAACGGCCUACCAAAGCGACGAUCAGUAGCCGGCCUGAGAGGGCGGACGGCCACAUUGGGACUGAGACACGGCCCAGACUCCUACGGGAGGCAGCAGUGGGGGAUAUUGCACAAUGGGGGGAACCCUGAUGCAGCGGCGCCGCGUGAGUGAAGAAGUAAUUCGUUAUGUAAAGCUCUAUCAGCAGGGAAGAAUAAAUGACGGUACCUGAGUAAGAAGCCCCGGCUAACUACGUGCCAGCAGCCGCGGUAAUACGUAGGGGGCAAGCGUUAUCCGGAUUUACUGGGUGUAAAGGGAGCGUAGACGGCGAUGCAAGCCAGAUGUGAAAGCCCGCGGCUCAACUGCGGUAGUGCAUUUGGAACUGUAUGGCUGGAGUGCAGGAGAGGCAGGCGGAAUUCCUAGUGUAGCGGUGAAAUGCGUAGAUAUUA
RNAcentral lists this ribosomal RNA (465 nucleotides) under uncultured bacterium. RNAcentral's name for it is "bacterial SSU rRNA". It matches the Rfam family "Bacterial small subunit ribosomal RNA", at positions 219 to 699 of the family's 1533-position model. The record is from RNAcentral.